RNAcentral lists this ribosomal RNA (315 nucleotides) under Triticum aestivum (bread wheat). Its description in RNAcentral is "partial small subunit ribosomal RNA". Lineage: Eukaryota; Viridiplantae; Streptophyta; Magnoliopsida; Poales; Poaceae. The record is from RNAcentral.
GCAUGGGUGGCUUGGGAUAUUAUGACAAGCCCGAAAAGUUUGGGAGGGUUGGGAUUUCGGGAUAUGGAGAUCUUCAACUUAGCUCUACUAGCACGGCAAGCGUGGAGGCUGCUAACGGGGGAACUGAGCUUAAGUGCCAGGAUUUUAAAAUCUGUUUAUUUCCCGGAGGUUUCUAUUCUUGAGGCGGAGCUUGGGUCACACCCUUCUCAGGUUUGGCGCUCGAUCAUUGACGGUCGGGAUGUUUUGAUACAGGGUACUGUGAAGAGGAUUGGAGAUGGCGAGUCCACUUAUAUCUGGAGACACAAUUGGAUACCG